RNAcentral lists this non-coding RNA (26 nucleotides) under Mus musculus (house mouse). Lineage: Eukaryota; Metazoa; Chordata; Mammalia; Rodentia; Muridae. The record is from RNAcentral.
UGUUAGUGACCUCUCACCUCUAGGGC